Molecule: non-coding RNA, 3652 nt
Organism: Callithrix jacchus (white-tufted-ear marmoset)
Lineage: Eukaryota; Metazoa; Chordata; Mammalia; Primates; Cebidae
Source: RefSeq, a predicted model, not a curated record
UAUAUCAAUCUCCCCUUCUUUAAUGAGGGAGACAUAAUUUUUGUCUCGACCUUCCAAUUAGUUCUGGCCAUACAGGACUUGUUUGCAAAUGGUAAUUGGAGGAGUAAUAGUAAUAGUUAUAUUACUAUUGCUGUAAUACAUGUACUUUCUACUAAACACAGGAACAAUGAACAUUCAUAAUACAUGUAACAAUAUCUUAUGUUUUCAUUUAUGUUUACCUCUAAUGAACUAUACAACAUUAAAUAGACAUAUAUUCACAUUACAGAACUAAUUAAUUUUCAUGAUACCCAUGAGAAGCAAAGUGGGGGUGAGUUACAUUAUUCCCAUUUUAAGAGGAGAUAAUUAAACCUUGCCUGGAGUUACACAUUGACCAUUUGAGAAGCUAGAAGUAAAUUACAAGUCUUGACAAUGGUGCCACUUCUUCCAACCAGGGCAGUGUUCCGCUGAUGGCACUGAUACAUCAGUCCCUGGUCAAUGCCCAGGCAUAAAUGUCUAAUUUGAAAAUCCUUUUUAAAUGUAACAUGGCAGAUUGUGAAGGGUGGUUGCUAAUUAGAGAAGAAGGAUGACAUAACAAGGAUAUUUUCAUUGCUAGUGGUUUACCCUUUUUAAACAAAAACAUACCAGUGAAAAGUAGAAAAGAAAAUCAUACAUUAUGGUUCAAUAAUUGUUUACUAUGGGCUACUUGGUGCCAAGUCCUAUGCUAGGAGCUCUGAAAGAUGAAAGCUAAAUAUGUAUCCUUGAUAGAUAUUUAAUAUGUAGUUGAAGAAUCAAGACUUACCUGCAAGAAACAUGCAGAGCACUGUAAAAGACAUAAUAUAAUCAAGUGCCAAAAUGUGUGUAUAGAAGGCUUUUGUGUCCUAGAAGACAGACAUCUUUUAUUUAAAAAAGGUGAAACUGGGGAGAGUUUGUGUGGCGGGACUGUGGCGGCAGUGAGAGCAAUUGGCACUGGCCCUUGCGUCCGGUUCAGUCAGGAGUUGGACUUCCUGACCAUUGCCAUCCACAUGCCCUACGUCCGGGUCUCAGAGUUCAACGUCUACUUUGAGAGGCCUGACUUCAGGUUCUAUGCCAAGCCCUACUUUCUCAGAUUAACCCUUCCUGGAAAAAUUGUAGAAAAUGGAAGCGAGCAAGGGUCCUAUGAUGCAAAAAAAAAAAAAAAAAAAAAAAAAGGAAUUUUUACCAUUCACUUGCCCAGGGGCUAGACAUGUGCUGCUCUUCUGGCACCAAGAAAAUCCAGGACAGCAAGACCACUUUUGGAAGAAAUAGGUGCUUCUGAGAUUCCUGAAGAAGUAGUUGAUGAUGAAGAGUUUGAUUGGGAAAUUGAGCAGACAUCCUAUGAAUAGGUAUCAGAAAGUGCUAUGAAUCCGCAGUGCCACUAUGGAUUUGGAAACUUACAAUCAGGAGUGUUUCAGUGGUUACAGGAUGAAUUGAGUGAUGUUAUUGAUAUUAAGGAUCUAGAUUUCAGCCCUGCAGCUGAACCAAGACAGAAGUGCCUGGCCACUGAGCUGGCCGAGUUUGAUCCUGAUCAUUAUCUAACUGACAUUUUUGAAGAUGAGGCGGUUGAACAGAUUUUGAAGUACAAUCCAUGGUGGACUGACAAAUAUUAAAAAAUGACAGCCUUUUUGGAAAAGAGUCAGGAGCAAGAAAUCAUGCUUCUUUAGUGUCUUUUUCUGAAGAAGAAAAAUAUCAGCUACAAAAAUUUGUCAAUAAAUCUUAUCUGUUGGACAAGAGAACCUGUUGUCAAGUGUACUACAGUUUGAUUGAUGUCCUUCUGGAAUAUUGCUAUGAAACCUGUGUCACUGAAGGAGAGAAGAAUGUUGAAUCUGCAUGGAAUAUCAGGAAACUGAGUCCAACAUUAUGGUGGUUUGAGACUUGGACUAAUGUUCAUGCUAUCAUGGUGUCUUUUGGAAGAAGGGUGUUGUGUUACCCACUCCACUGCCAUUUCAAGCUGGUGAUGAAGGCCUAGAGGAACACUAUAUAGAUAUUACAACUAGGUAAAAGUGCAGUUUUAAAGUAUCUCUGGAUAUUCACAAAAUUUUUCAGGAAAACAACACAGCAUAAAUACUGAAUGAUCUCUACAUCUCAGACUACUGUGUGAAUUCAGAAAGUCAAAUCUAAAAGUUGGCAGUUCUUGCAGAAGAAGCCUUAAAGGAAAUCUCCCUUACAAAGGCCCAGCUGGGGUUAGAACUGGAAGAACUAGCAGCAGCAGCACUUCUUGUCCAGGAAGAAACUGCAUUAAAAGCAGCCCAUUCAGUAUCUAGGCAGCAGACACUUUGCUCCAGAUCUGAGGCAAGUGAUAUAGAGGAGUCAGACAGCACCGUGUCAUCUGGAAAUGAAGACUCAGACUCAGAUUCAAAACAAGUUAAACUCAAAGAUAGUCCAUCUAAGACAGUCAGUUCUUUGCAAGGUCCCUUUGUGGAAAGCAGUGCCCUUCUUAUUGUUGAUGGUGGAGUAUGCAGAAACAUAGCCAUCCAGGAAUCCGAUGCCAGUCAAGGAAAGUCACUUGCCUCUUCCCAGUGUUUUGGAGUGCCUGGGCCUCUGAUAGCGGAGUGUGGGGAACAAAUGAAGACCACAGUUCAAGUUUCUGAACCCAAGGGCACCACUGCUGUAACAAUAUGCAGGAGAGAGACAGCUGUCAGACACCAAAUAAUUGACUCUUAAGUGGUUUUAUUCAUUGUUAAGAAAUAUGUUAGAUUCAGUUUCAUUUACAGAAUAAAAAUUCCUCAUUUUUACUUUGUAAUUUUUCUUAGUAUAUACAGUCAGCCUGCUGUAUUUGGGUUUCACAUCUGUGGAUUCAAUAACUGCAAAUCAAAAAUAUUUAAGAAAAAAUUGUAUGUGUACCAAAAAUGUACAGACUUUUUUUCUUAUUCUCUAAAUAAUACAGUAUAACAACUAUUGCCCCAGCAUUUACAUUGUAUUGGGUAAUAAAAGUAGUCUAGUGAUGAUUUAAAGUGUAUGGGAGGACACGGGUAGGUUAUAUGCAAACGUCAUGUCAUUUUUUAUCAGGGACUUAAGCAUCUGAGGAUUUUGGUAUCCUCAGGGGUCCUGGAACCAACCCCCCAGAAACUGUGAUGACUUUAUGACAUUGUUUUUCAAUCAGUGAAUGUUUUUCCCUUUUGGUUUCCUUGCUGCAACUGUGAAGAUAAAGUUAAAAAGUAUUUUUACCAAAGUGUACCUAAUAUUUCAAGCUGAAAAUAAUUGUUCUACUGUCAGUGUCUCCAGAAUGUAGAGCCCACUAAUAUUUUUAUUUUAACUUUACUGAGGUAUAAUUGACACCUGAUAAACUGCACACAUGUAAAGUGUACAAUGUGUUGGCAUAUGUAUACCUCAUGUAAAACUGUCACUGUGAUCAAGGUGAGGAACGGACUCAUUAUCCCCAAGUGCCCUUGUGCCUUGUUAUUAGUUUGCAUAUCCUAGAAUCCUAUGUAAAUUAAAUCAUACAAUAUGUAUCUCUUUUUUGGGUCAGGCUUAUUUUACUCAGUAUAAUUAUUUUGAGAUUUAUCCAUGUGAUAGCAUGUGUCAUGAAUUUUUGUUUUUGUGUCUUUCAUUGCUGAGUACUACUUCAUUGAAUAGAUUUGUUCAUUGGCCUAUUGAUGGACACUUGGGUUGUUUCCAGUUUGCGGCUGUUAUAAAUAAGGCUGUUAUGAACAUUUGU